GUGCGAGUAGACUGUUCUCAUAGAACCGAGGAACCAUAGAGUCUCACAGCUGAAGCGGGUGGUAGAGAUCUUAUCGCUCCACGGCUUCAUUUUUGAAUGAAAAAAAAAAAAAAGGUUCCAUUCACAAUAGCAACAAUCGCAACAACAACAACAAAAACCAUGAAACAAGUAGGAAUAACUCUAAUAAGAAAUAUGUAGAAUUCAUACGAAGAAAACUACAGAACCAUACAGAAUCAUAUCCAACUGGGAUAAAAUUAGACAGGCAGUAAUGAAGAGCCUUACCAUGGUCCUGAAUGAAAAGAGGAAAAAUUGUGAUGUCAGUUUUUAUCAAAUUAAAUGAAUAGACUUUAUUCAAGUCUACAAAAAAGUCUGGGAACAAAUCUGUGAAGAUUAGAGACCUAUUUUGACGACAGAAUUUAAGACUACACGGAUUUCUGCAGGCAUAUAAAAGCCACUUUCAAUGCUGUCUCAGAUAAAUGGGGUGGUGAGAGGAAGGAUCUGGAAGAAUGAGACUCCAGUGCUCUCUUCAGCAUCUAUAGUGAAACGACCAGACUGGCCCUGAGCUAACAUCCAUGCCCAUCUUCUUCUACUUUAUAUGCAGGACACCUACCACAGCAUGGCUUUCCAAGCGGUGCCAUGUCUGCACACAGGAUCCGAACCUACGAACCCAGGGCCACGGAAGCAGAAUGUGCAUGCGCACUUAACCGCUGCGCCACUGGGCCAUAUAUUCCUGUGUCUGGCUUCUUUUGCUCAACUUAAUGGUUUUAUCUAGUUGUUGUAGCAGUUCAUUCCUUUUAUUGCUAAAUAGUAUUCCAUCAUAUGAAUGCACAAUUUGUUUAUCCAUUUGAUACUUGGGUUGAUUCCAGUUCUUACCUAUUAUGAAUAAAGAAUAUGAACAUUGGCGUACAAGUCUUUGUGUGAAUACGUGUUUUCAUUUCUCUUGGGUAGAUUCCCUAGGAGUGUGAUUGUCGGGUUGUGCGCUAAGUGUAUUUUCCCAUUAUUUCCGACUGUUUUGUGUCAUUCUGCUUUAGGCAUGUCUUGUAAAUACUAUACAGCCACAAGAUUUAAAAUAUAUCCAGUCUGAGCAUUUGUCUUUUAAUAAGGGAACUUAACCUAGUCACAUUCAUCAUGAGCACUCUGUAUUUGGACUUUCCCCUACCAUCUUACUUCAUGUUUCUAUUUACCAUUAUUUCUUCUUCUUUUUAAAUUUACAUAUUGUGAAAUAUACAGGUGCCCAGUGGUGCAGUUCAAUGGGUUUUAACAAAUUCUUUUUUUUUUCUUUAAUUGAGUUUCCCUUUUGUAUUUCUUCUAUUGGUUUAGGAGACAUACAUCCUACAUUAUUUAGAAUUAGGUUUAGCUAUACAAUUAAAGUAAAACCCAGUAGGCUUUUCCAAUGUAUUAACAAAUAUGGUCACUCAAUUUCAAAGUUUACAUGUCCUAAAAGUUACCUCAGAGAAAGAGAGAGCAACCCUCCAGUAAAAGCUCUGGUUAAGACUAUUUGGCUUGACUUUGAUCACCUAGGUUUGAAAUAAUCACAAUGAUAAAGGGAAUAUGGGAUAUGCUGAUUGGUUCAAUCAGGAAGAUGAUCCUAUCCAUGUUACAGGCUGUGGGAGGAGUGAGCCACAGUCUAGUCCUGUGACAAUGGUUUUCUCUAUGAGGAAUUCUGUUAACAGAGAAGGGAAUCCAAUUUAUAUAUGUAUAUUCCUAAUAAGCAAUUAUGUAUUUUUGUGGUUUAAAAAAAUUGUAAAACACAUGUCACACCAUACUUAAUUGUUCUACAAGCUACUUUUCUCUUAAUAAUAGGUCAGAGUUAUUUCCAUGUAAGUAAUACAGCUCUACCUCUUGCUUUUAUUAAUUGUGGUAAAAUACACAUAAAAUAAAAUUUACCAUCUUAACCAUUUUUAAGUGUAUAGUUCAGUAGUGUUAAGUACAUUCACAUUGUUGUGCAACCAAUCUCCACAACUCUUUUUACCUUGCAAAACUGAAACUCUAUGCCAAUUAAACUCCCUGUUCCCCACUCCCUCCAGCCCCUGGCAACCUCCCUCCUACAUUGUCUCUAUGAAUUUGACUACUCUAGGUACCUUAUAUAAGUGGAAUCACAGUAUUUAUUUGUCUUUUGGCGACCAGCUUAUUUCACUUAGCUUAUUGUUCUCAAGGUUUAUUCAUGUUGUAGCAUGUUAGAAUUUCCUUCCUUUGUAAGGCUGCAUAAUAUUCCAUUAUGUGCAUAUACCACAUUUUCCUUAUUCAUCCAUUGAUGGACACAUGGAUUGCUUCUACUUCUUGGGUGUGCAAAUCUCUCUUCAAGAUCUUGCUUUCAGUUCUUUUGUAUAUGUACCCAGAAGUGGAAUGCUGGAUCAUAUGGUAAUUCUAUUUUUAAUUUUUUGAGGAAUCACCAUACUGUUCUCCAUUGCAGCUAUACCAUUUUACAUUUCCACCAACAGUGCACAAUAGUUCCAAUUUCUCCACAUCCUCGAAAACACUCGUUAUUUAUUCUUUUUUUUUUUUGUAUUAGUAUUUUCUUUUAAUUAAGGAAUCCACUUCUAUGACUACCAUGGGGCCCAAGCUGUGUUAACAGUGACGAAUCUGGAGGGAACCACACCCCACUCUGGACUUCCUGGUUACAACCACUACCCUCUCUACUGAACUGAAAACCCAGACUUACGAGGCCUCAGUCUCCGCCCUCCUAUUCCUGGAAGAUGCCAAAGCUAACUAUGUAGGAGGAUUUUUCAGAGGAGAAGACGACUUUGUCCUCCCAGAAGAGAAACCCUCCACUUUGCUUUAUGAGGCAGAUAGCAACCCCAAACCACAGAUAGGUUGGGACCUGCGCAGGCCUCAAUGACUUAUUCUUAAUAGUGGCCAUCCUAACAGACGUAAGGUGGUAUCUUACUGUGGUUUUUAUUUGCACUUCCCUAAUGAUGAGUGAUGUUGAACAUCUUUUCAUGUGCUUGCUGUCCAUUUGUAUAUCUUCUUUAGAAAAUUAUCUAUUCAAGUCCUUUGCCCAUCUUUAGAUCUACUUCAUUUUUUAAAAAUGCUAAUAGUACUGAUAUAACAUAGUUAAGACCCUUUUGAUGGACAUUUACAUUCUUUUCGAUUUUUCUCUAUUACCAACAGUGGUGCUGUAAAUAUCCUUCUAUAAGCUUUCUUGUACACGUGUGAAUGUUUCUUUAUACAUUUAUAUCACAC
RNAcentral lists this long non-coding RNA (3183 nucleotides) under Equus asinus (donkey). RNAcentral describes it as "lncRNA (ENSEASG00005025393.1)". Lineage: Eukaryota; Metazoa; Chordata; Mammalia; Perissodactyla; Equidae. The record is from RNAcentral.